GCCUGGGUGGCUCUGUCGGUUGAGCGUCUGACUUUGGCACAGAUCAUGAUCUCACAGUUUGUGGGUUCGAGCCCUACGUCGGGCU
Molecule: transfer RNA, 85 nt
Filed under: Felis catus (domestic cat)
Lineage: Eukaryota; Metazoa; Chordata; Mammalia; Carnivora; Felidae
Rfam family: tRNA
About the family: Transfer RNA (tRNA) molecules are approximately 80 nucleotides in length.
Source: Rfam by way of RNAcentral